Nerophis ophidion (straightnose pipefish) is the source of this 1803-nucleotide RNA transcript. It is a transcript of the gene named palmitoyl-protein thioesterase 1-like, with no coding region annotated. The transcript is spliced from 10 exons. NCBI's taxonomy places the organism in Eukaryota, Metazoa, Chordata, Actinopteri, Syngnathiformes, Syngnathidae. The record is from RefSeq and is a predicted model, not a curated record.
CCUCCAUCAUGUCGGCUUCCUCCAGCCCGUAGCCGAAACUUUUGGGGAAGGACCCGACGGCAUCGUAGCUCCCAGACAACGUUGGCUCCUCGAACUGUAUCGACAUGCUGCGUCGAAUGAGCCUCUGGAGGGGAAAAAAGCUGCUGUUUAACGAGCCAAAUAAUCCGCUGAGGAAUGUUCUCGAUACUCUUUAAAACCAGCUAGCAUGGCAGGCUAACUUGACAGUAAACAUUCAACUCGGACGGUAUCUUCGUGGUAUUUAAGGUUGCUUUUUCUCUCCAAUAAACACCGAGGCGUUAAAGUGCCAUUAUAUUGUUUUAAAAAAAAAAAGUUAUCUAAAUAUGGGCUAAAGUUCGGGUGUAUGAAGCUAGUCACAAGUCUUGUGGCUUUCCUUCCAAGUCCCGCCUCUUUUAUCUGAUUGGCCGGUGGAGGCCCGGCCGCGUCACGUGACAGUCAGAUGCCGGAAGACUUUGAAGAACGGAUCCAUGAUGGCCGUAGUUCUCCUGUGGUUCUUCCUGGUGAGCCCAGUGGCACUGGCUGCAAGCAUGCCUGCUAAUAACGGGACAGUACCUCUGGUUCUGUGGCAUGGAAUGGGCGACAGCUGUUGCAAUCCACUCAGCUUGGGCGCCAUCAAGAAAAUGAUCGAGCAGGAGAUUCCGGGCAUUUACGUGCUUUCACUGAUGAUCGGCAAGAAUGUCGUGCAGGACACCGAAAACGGCUUUUUCAUGGAUGUGAACGAGCAGGUGUCCGUGGUGUGCGAUCAACUCGCUCAGGACCCAAAGUUGAAGGGAGGCUACAACGCCAUGGGCUUCUCCCAGGGGGCGCAAUUUCUGAGAGCCGUGGCCCAGCGAUGUCCUUCCCCGCCUAUGAAGAAUCUCAUCUCUGUGGGCGGCCAGCACCAAGGCGUGUACGGGCUGCCCAGGUGUCCCGGAGAGAGCUCUUACAUUUGCGACAUGAUCCGAAAGGCCCUGAACACGGAGGCGUACAGCGACCUGGUGCAAAAACACCUGGUGCAGGCCCAGUACUGGCACGACCCUUUGAAGGACGACCUGUACAAGAAGCACAGUCUCUUCCUGGCUGACAUCAACCAGGAGAGGGUGCUCAAUGAGACCUAUAAGAAGAAUCUUCAGAUGCUGGACAAGUUCGUCAUGGUGAAGUUUCUGCAGGACACGGUGGUCGAUCCGGUUGAUUCUGAGAAAACAAGCCUCCACUCCUUUUUCCUCAGUGGUUCGGCUUCCUAAAAACGGGGCAGGCCAAAGAGACAGAGACUCUACAGGAGAGCGUCCUUUACAAAGAGGAUCGCCUGGGCCUGGCCGCCAUGGACAAGGCAGGGAAGCUGGUUUUCCUCGCCACUAAAGGAGACCACCUGCAGUUCAGUAGAGAGUGGUUCAACGCAAACCUGCUGCCUUACCUCCAACAUUAGAGAAAACUCUGGCUUCUCGCUAAUUGCUUCCUGUUGCACUGAGGAUCUGUCGCAUGCUGAUGGGUUCUAAGGUUUACUGUUAACUUCUGUCCUGUGUAAAUCAGUUUUACAAAUGUUGAAUAUUUUAACAAUAACAUGAUUUUAACAUGCAUACAUUUAUAGUCGGAGCCAUUCAUGCUUUGUGUUUACUUUGUUUUGGGGACCUAUAUGUGGUUGGACCACAGGUGGCGCUAUUGAGGGGCUGCACAUUUGUGAGGAAGUGAUGGUGACAGUCUUUUCCGCUUUUGCUGCUCAGCACAGUCUCAUGUCCACAGUCGCCACCAUUUUACAAACAACGGGUUGACUUGACAUCUUGUGCAAUAAAGAACAUUUCUAAACGA